RNAcentral lists this ribosomal RNA (469 nucleotides) under uncultured bacterium. Its description in RNAcentral is "bacterial SSU rRNA". It matches the Rfam family "Bacterial small subunit ribosomal RNA", at positions 30 to 492 of the family's 1533-position model. The record is from RNAcentral.
AUUGAACGCUGGCGGAAUGCUUUACACAUGCAAGUCGAGCGGCAGCGCGGGGCAACCUGGCGGCGAGCGGCGAACGGGUGAGUAAUACAUCGGAACGUGCCCAGACGUGGGGGAUAACUACUCGAAAGAGUGGCUAAUACCGCAUACGAUCUACGGAUGAAAGCGGGGGAUCGCAAGACCUCGCGCGUCUGGAGCGGCUGAUGGCAGAUUAGGUAGUUGGUGGGAUAAAAGACCUACCAAGCCAACGAUCUGUAGCUGGUCUGAGAGGAUGAUCAGCCACACUGGGACUGAGACACGGCCCAGACUCCUACGGGAGGCAGCAGUGGGGAAUUUUGGACAAUGGGCGAAAGCCUGAUCCAGCCAUUCCGCGUGCAGGAUGAAGGCCCUCGGGUUGUAAACUGCUUUUGUUACAGAACGAAAAGACUCUGGCUAAUACCUGGAGUCCAUGACGGUACUGUAAGAAUAAGCA